GCUGGGCGUGGUGGCGGAUGCCUGUAAUCCCAGCUACUCAGGAGGCUGAGGCAGGAGAGUCACUUGAACCUGGGAGGCAGAGGUUGCAGUGAGCUGAGACUGUGCCACUGCACUCCAGCCUGGGUGACAGAGUGAGACCCUGUCUUUA
Molecule: unclassified non-coding RNA, 148 nt
Organism: Macaca mulatta (Rhesus monkey)
Lineage: Eukaryota; Metazoa; Chordata; Mammalia; Primates; Cercopithecidae
Rfam family: Metazoan signal recognition particle RNA
About the family: The signal recognition particle (SRP) is a universally conserved ribonucleoprotein. It is involved in the co-translational targeting of proteins to membranes.
Source: Ensembl